CAUUCUCCCUGAGAUGAUAAAAUGGCUCACCUCACCCCAGGGUGUUUGGCUAAUCACGGCUAAAUUAUUUUUAAAGUGCUGUUAAUGUUAAUGAUAGGCUUUAAUAAGCACUCCUUUUAAUGUUUAUGUUUUUUUUUCCCUUUAGCCUAAGCUGGUGGAGGCCAGGGCUGUUUUGCAAGAAAUAAAUCGUGUUAUAUGCUGCCUACUACAUCAUUGGUAGAAAGCAAUGGAAGAAUACUGAAGAUACAGGUGGGGGGAUUCAUUGAAAAACCCAACUUGACCUGGGAAUCACAAAGGCAAGAAACAGGCUGGAAUGACCGAGGCGCCUAUUUAAUUUGAAUGUCCCAGCCCGGACCCACGGAAUGAGCAUGCCCAGAAUACCCUGAACACUAGGGCCGAAGAGCAUAUUGUUUGAAA
Molecule: non-coding RNA, 417 nt
Organism: Cricetulus griseus (Chinese hamster)
Lineage: Eukaryota; Metazoa; Chordata; Mammalia; Rodentia; Cricetidae
Source: RefSeq, a predicted model, not a curated record